Molecule: long non-coding RNA, 2449 nt
Organism: Herpailurus yagouaroundi (jaguarundi)
Lineage: Eukaryota; Metazoa; Chordata; Mammalia; Carnivora; Felidae
Exons: 2
Source: RefSeq, a predicted model, not a curated record
AUUGUGAGAUCAUGACCUGAGCUGAAACUGAGAGUUAGACACUCAACUGACUGAGCCACGCAGGCACCCCAAAUUUUGUCAAUUUUAAGUGUACAGAUGGACGACUUUUAACAAAUGAACCCAGUAGUAUAACCACCACAUCAUCCCACAAAGUUCCUUUCCUGCCCUUGCCAUCCACCCCCUCCCCCAAGCUCGGUGCUUGGCAUUCACUGCUUUCUGCCACUAUAGCUUUGCCUUUAUUGGAAUGUCAUAUAAAUGGACUCAUACAGUCUGUAUUCUUUUGUGUCUGGCUUUUUUCACUUAGCACAAUGCUUUUGAGAUUUAUAUCUUUGAUUAUCAGUGCAUUUUGUUAUAAUUUCAUAUUGCUUAUUUGUAUUUUUUCUGAAAAAACUUUAUGUCCUUUGCCCAUUUUCUAUUGGGUCAUUGAUCUUUUCCUUAUAAAUGUAUAGAAGUAUAUUUUUAAAAACUCUGAAUAAUUUGGAAGUUUAUUUUUUCUAAAACUGCUUGAGUGUUUUCUCCUACCAAAUGGCCCACUUGAAACUGAUGGCCACUGAUGCUUGCCAUUCUUUCUCUGUCUGCCCCCUGGAGGCGCUGUCUCCUUUCCACCUGCCAGCUUGCUGAGGACAUGCAAAGGCUGGCCUGUUUCUCACAGUGCCCAGUGGGGAAGCGGGGUCUUGGGAGGAAAAGGAGAGCACAGAGCACCUGCUUAUACCCCUGCUCCUUGGCAUCCAUCUUGGAGUGGGUGGUUCCUGGCUGCAGAGGGAUAGCCCAGCCCUGCUUGUGGUCUCUGAACCUGUGCUCCCAGCCCUAGGACCAGAGACCCUGCAUGACCAAAACCUGGAUUUGUUUGAGCUUGCAGCCAAGCCUCCUUUUAGUCCUGUGCACUAGGAUGUACCAAGGAGUGGGAGAGGGACUGUCCUCUUAUCCCCUUCUGCUUCAUUACCCACCACAAACACUCAGGAAACCUUCACAGGGCAGGGCAUUCUCCCAAGUGGCCACUUCAAAAUCCUUAGUGUAAAGGGAACCCUGUGCAGGUCUGUGGGGCUGGGAGAACAAAGGGUGAUGGGAAAUCCACUGGGAUAGACAAGGUCACUCCAGCCCCAGAGGCCACCUGGAUGCCACCCCUAUCUCUCCUCUUUCCCAGGUUGCCCCAUCUUGUUGGGGUGCUGGGAAGAACCCACAUCUCCCACGGCCCCACUCUGUGCAACUAGAAGAAGGGCAAGCCUUGAUCAACUGCACUGGGAUGGUUGUGUGCCCAGCUUCCCAGAGAGAUCAUGUAGCCCAUAGGGGUUAGGGUCUGUUGGGUGACAUUGUGUGGGUGACUUCUGUUGGGUGACUUCAGAUACACUUCCUGGCAAGUGGGCUAUCCUGUACCAGCCUCGGUGCCUAACCACCAAGCACUCAGUACCUGGGGAAAAUGCAUCUUGUUUUUCAAACAUCCCAUUGGACACCCACUAAGGGCAUACAACCUGCUUGUCAAUUAGGGUUACCCUGUUUACUCCCCUAGUAAGCUUUCAGUGAGCUUCUCAGAUAGGCACUACUAGAUUUUGUUCUUCAGCUUUUUUAUUUUGUCUCUAUCUAGCACAAGAGGAUAUACAAGCAGCAAGGAUACUUUAAAAUAAGAAUGGUGACAAUGGUGAAAAAUAGUCUUGGUUCAACUCUAGUGCCUACUUUGUCUCUAAUUAAAGCUAUUAACUGAAAACGUUUGUACAACAGUUCUCCUCUGAUAGUUUCAAGUGUGUUUGUGUUCCAGAGUUUUUUGUAGAGCUCUUUGAAAUUCCCAUGGCUUACCUACUGAAUCUUCUUUGGAAUCUUCAAAUUCCCAAAUCUUUAGAGACUUGGUGGUCACUCACUGGCCAGAGGCAUUGUAAAAGGAUUCUGGAGAUUUCAACUUUUCAGCAAAAGCCCUUCCGAAUCUUUAGUCUGAUUCUGAGAUCCCCAAGGAGACUGGGGACCUUUCUUUGGAUCUUUCCUGUGAAAGGACCAUAUGCUCAGUCCUCUGAUGCAACACAAAUAGCUACUGUGAAGCUCAGUGGUGAGUUUCAAUGAGUUUAUUCCACUAUCUGUGGCCCAGGUAGGCUUGGACUUACAGGUAUGUUUGUGUUAUGUUUCAUAUUCAAAUGCACAGUUCCAGCAGUAUACUUUAUAAAUUGUACUCUUUGUCUUCCUUGUAAUCUGUCAAGCACCAAGUAUAGUGUCAUCUCUGUGUGGAUGCUCUACAAAUGCUAAUUGGUAGUGAUCAGGAUAAUGAUGUUGACAAAUGACUCCAUGAAACUGAUGAAUCAUUUGGUGGAAGAGGCCUGGUACAGCAGUUAUGUAAUGUUGCUUCACCAAACAGGCUCGACCAAAACCUGGCUCCCACAUGAGUUGGCAAUCAAACAAAAAGAUGAAGCAAGAAGUUUGAAUCAGCUAAUAAAAAUAAAUAAACUAAUUCAUAUGAGUAUUAGCA